RNAcentral lists this ribosomal RNA (724 nucleotides) under Kluyveromyces marxianus. RNAcentral's name for it is "eukaryotic LSU rRNA". The stretch from base 264 to 417 matches the Rfam family "5.8S ribosomal RNA". The record is from RNAcentral. Lineage: Eukaryota; Fungi; Ascomycota; Saccharomycetes; Saccharomycetales; Saccharomycetaceae.
UCCGUAGGUGAACCUGCGGAAGGAUCAUUAAAGAUUAUGAAUGAAUAGAUUGCUGGGGGAAUCGUCUGAACAAGGCCUGCGCUUAAUUGCGCGGCCAGUUCUUGAUUCUCUGCUAUCAGUUUUCUAUUUCUCAUCCUAAACACAAUGGAGUUUUUUCUCUAUGAACUACUUCCCUGGAGAGCUCGUCUCUCCAGUGGACAUAAACACAAACAAUAUUUUGUAUUAUGAAAAACUAUUAUUAUACUAUAAAAUUUAAUAUUCAAAACUUUCAACAACGGAUCUCUUGGUUCUCGCAUCGAUGAAGAACGCAGCGAAUUGCGAUAUGUAUUGUGAAUUGCUGAUUUUCGUGAAUCAUCAAAUCUUUGAACGCACAUUGCGCCCUCUGGUAUUCCAGGGGGCAUGCCUGUUUGAGCGUCAUUUCUCUCUCAAACCUUUGGGUUUGGUAGAGAGUGAUACUCGUCUCGGGUUAACUUGAAAGUGGCUAGCCGUUGCCAUCUGCGUGAGCAGGGCUGCGUGUCAAGUCUGUGGACUCGACUCUUGCACAUCUACGUCUUAGGUUUGCGCCAAUUCGUGGUAAGCUUGGGUCAUAGAGACUCAUAGGUGUUAUAAAGACUCGCUGGUGUUUGUCUCCUUGAGGCAUACGGCUUUAACCAAAACUCUCAAAGUUUGACCUCAAAUCAGGUGGGAGUACCCGCUGAACUUAAGCAUAUCAAUAAGCGGAGGA